Oncorhynchus keta (chum salmon) is the source of this 2874-nucleotide long non-coding RNA. RefSeq lists it as uncharacterized. Lineage: Eukaryota; Metazoa; Chordata; Actinopteri; Salmoniformes; Salmonidae. The record is from RefSeq and is a predicted model, not a curated record. The transcript is spliced from 3 exons.
GUGGGGGAGGAGAGGAUGCCUGGUCUCACGGCUGUCCCACAGUGUUCCCUCAGGGUUCUUGUCCACGGUAGUGCACUAUAUAUAGAAUAGGGUGCUAGUUGGGACGCACCCUGUCCUGCUCUGCCCCGUACGGCAGCUUGGACUAACCUAUAAGGUAGAUGACGUUACGUUAGAUUACAGGUAACUAGGUUACGGGUUUGGGUUGUUCCAGAAAGCAGUAGGAGCUGUAGAAGCCUUCAUGGGCGUGGUAAUUGAAAAAGUGCGUCCCAAAUAUAUAUAUAUAUAUGCCAUUUAGCAGACGCUUUUAUCCAAAGCGACUUACAGUCAUGUGUGCAUACAUUCUACGUAUGGGUGGUCCCGGGAAUCGAACCCACUACCCUGGCGUUACAAGCGCCAUGCUCUACCAACUGAGCUACAGAAGGACCACCAAAUAUCUCUCUUCUCCCUAUAGAGUGCACUACUUUUGACCAGUGCCCUAUGGUCUGACAGGUACAGUUGAAGUCGUAAGUUUACGUACAUUUUAGCCAAAUACAUUUCAACUCAGUUUUUCACAAUUCCUGACAUUUAAUCAGAGUAAAAUAAAAUCUGUUUUAGAUCAGUUAGGAUCACCACUUUAUUUUAAGAAUAUCAAAUGUCAGAAUAAUAGUAGAGAGAAUGAUUUAUUUCAGCUUUUAUUUCUUUCAUCACAUUCCCAGUGGGUCAGAAGUUUACAUACACUCAAUUAAUAUUUGGUAGCUUUGCACUUAAAUUGUUUAACUUGGGUCAAGCAUUUUGGGUAGCCUUCCACAAGCUUCCCACAAUAAAUUGGGUGAAUUUUGGCCCAUUCCUCCUGACAGAGCUGGUGUAACUGAGUCAGUGGUUUGUAGGCCUCCUUGCUCACACACGCUUUUUCAGUUCUGCUCACACAUUUUCUAUAGGAUUGAGGUCAUGGCUUUGUGAUGGCAACUCCAAUACCUUGACUUUGUUGUCCUUAAGCCAUUUUGCCACAACUUUGGAAGUAUGCUUGGGGUCAUUGUCCAUUUGGAAGACCCAUUUUUGACCAAGCUUUAACUGAUGUCUUGAGAUGUUGCUUCAAUAUAUCCACAUAAUGUUCCUCCCUCAUGAUGUCAUCUAUUUUGUGAUGUGCACCAGUCCCUCCUGCAGCAAAGCACCCCCACAACAUGAUGCUGCCACCCCCAUGCUUCACGGUUGGGAUGGUGUUCUUCAGCUUGCAAGCCUCCCCCUUUUUCCUCCAAACAUAACCAUGGUCAUUAUGGCCAAACAGUUGUAUUUUUGUUUCAUCAGACCAGAGGACAUUUCUCCAAAAAGUACAAUAUUUUGCAGUAGCAAACCAUAGUCUGGCUUUUUAAUGACGGUUUUGGAGCAGUGGCUUCUUCCUUGCUGAGCAGCCUUUCAGGUUAUGUCGAUACAGGACUCGUUUUACUGUGGAUAUAGAUACUUUUGUACCUGUUUUCUCCAGCAUCUUCACAAGGUCCUUUGCUGUUGUUCUGGGAUUGAUUUGCACUUUUCGCACCAAAGUACGCUCAUCUCUAGGAGACAGAACACGUCUCCUUCCUGAGUGGUAUGACGGCUGCGUGGUCACAUGCUGUUUAUACUUGCAUACUAUUGUUUGUGCAGAUGAACGUGGUACCUUCAGGCGUUUGGAAAUUGCUCCCAAGGAUGAACCAGACUUGUGGAGGUCUACAAUUUUCUUUCUGAUGUCUUGGUUGAUUUCUUUUGAUUUCCCAUGAUGUCAAGCAAAGAGGCACUGAAUUUGAAGGUAGGCCUUGAAAUACAUCCACAGGUACACCUCCAAUUGACUCAAAUGAUGUCAAUUAGCCUAUCAGAAGCUUCUAAAGCCAUGACAUAUUUUUCUGGAAUUUUCCAAGCUGCUUAAAGGCACAGUCAAGUUAGUGUAUGUAAACUUCUGACCCACUGGAAUUGUGAUACAGUGAAUUAUAAGUGAAACAAUCUGUCUGUAAACAAUUGUUGAAAAAUGACUUGUGUCAUGCACAAAGUAGAUGUCCUAACCGACUUGACAAAACUAGAGUUUGUUUACAAGAAAUUUGUGGAGUGGUUGAAAAACACAUUUUAAUGACUCCAACCUAAGUGUCUGUAAACUUCUGACUGUGAGUUAUGUCCUCCUUAGACACGGGCCACUCCAUCUGUCUUUGUCCUAAAUGGUCUCUGUGAGGAUGCAGGUUUAAUGGUUUCUCUCUGUGAGGAUGCAGGUUUAAUGGUUUCUCUCUGUGAGGAUGCAGGUUUAAUGGUUUCUCUCUGUGAGGAUGCAGGUUUAAUGGUUUCUCUCUGUGAGGAUGCAGGCUUAAUGGUUUCUCUCUGUGAGGAUGCAGGCUUAAUGGUUUCUCUCUGUGAGGAUGCAGGCUUAAUGGUUUCUCUCUGUGAGGAUGCAGGCUUAAUGGUUUCUCUCUGUGAGGAUGCAGGCUUAAUGGUUUCUCUCUGUGAGGAUGCAGGCUUAAUGGUUUCUCUCUGUGAGGAUGCAGGCUUAAUGGUUUCUCUCUGUGAGGAUGCAGGCUUAAUGGUUUCUCUCUGUGAGGAUGCAGGCUUAAUGGUUUCUCUCUGUGAGGAUGCAGGCUUAAUGGUUUCUCUCUGUGAGGAUGCAGGCUUAAUGGUUUCUCUCUGUGAGGAUGCAGGUUUAAUGGUUUCUCUCUGUGAGGAUGCAGACUUAAUGGUUUCUCUCUGUGAGGAUGCAGGUUUAAUGGUUUCUCUCUGUGAGGAUGCAGGUUUAAUGGUUUCUCUCUGUGAGGAUGCAGGCUUAAUGGUUUCUCUCUCUGAGGAUGCAGGUUUAAUGGUUUCUCUCUGUGAGGAUGCAGGUUUAAUGGUUUCUCUCUGUGAGGAUCUCUUACUCUCUGUCUCCAGUGUCUUAACCCUGUCUGU